AAGGGUAUAGUUCAAAUGGUAGAGCACAUGCUUAGCAUGCAUGAGGUCCUGGGUUCAAUCCCUGGUACCUUCU
This 73-nucleotide transfer RNA is filed under the name Camelus bactrianus (Bactrian camel). It matches the Rfam family "tRNA". Rfam says of the family: Transfer RNA (tRNA) molecules are approximately 80 nucleotides in length. Their secondary structure includes four short double-helical elements and three loops (D, anti-codon, and T loops). Further hydrogen bonds mediate the characteristic L-shaped molecular structure. tRNAs have two regions of fundamental functional importance: the anti-codon, which is responsible for specific mRNA codon recognition, and the 3' end, to which the tRNAs corresponding amino acid is attached (by aminoacyl-tRNA synthetases). tRNAs cope with the degeneracy of the genetic code in two manners: having more than one tRNA (with a specific anti-codon) for a particular amino acid; and 'wobble' base-pairing, i.e. permitting non-standard base-pairing at the 3rd anti-codon position. The record is from Rfam by way of RNAcentral. Lineage: Eukaryota; Metazoa; Chordata; Mammalia; Artiodactyla; Camelidae. RNAcentral also lists the same sequence under 1 other name.